AGGAGUGUAGCUCAACUGGUAGAGCACCGGUCUCCAAAACCGGGGGCUGCGGGUUCAAGUCCUGCCACUCCUGCCA
RNAcentral lists this transfer RNA (76 nucleotides) under Rhodospirillaceae bacterium. RNAcentral describes it as "tRNA-Trp". It matches the Rfam family "tRNA". Rfam says of the family: Transfer RNA (tRNA) molecules are approximately 80 nucleotides in length. Lineage: Bacteria; Pseudomonadati; Pseudomonadota; Alphaproteobacteria; Rhodospirillales; Rhodospirillaceae. The record is from RNAcentral. RNAcentral also lists the same sequence under 8 other names.